GAUGAACGCUGGCGGCGUGCCUAAUACAUGCAAGUCGAGCGAAUGGAUUAAGAGCUUGCUCUUAUGAAGUUAGCGGCGGACGGGUGAGUAACACGUGGGUAACCUGCCCAUAAGACUGGGAUAACUCCGGGAAACCGGGGCUAAUACCGGAUAACAUUUUGAACCGCAUGGUUCGAAAUUGAAAGGCGGCUUCGGCUGUCACUUAUGGAUGGACCCGCGUCGCAUUAGCUAGUUGGUGAGGUAACGGCUCACCACGGCAACGAUGCGUAGCCGACCUGAGAGGGGGAUCGGCCACACGUGGACGGGGACACGUCCCAGACUCCUACGGGGGGCAGCAGUAGGGAAUCUUCCGCAAUGGACGAAAGUCUGACGGAGCAACGCCGCGUGAGUGAUGAAGGCUUUCGGGUCGUAAAACUCUGUUGUUAGGGAAGAACAAGUACUAGUUGAAUAAGCUGGCACCUUGACGGUACCUAACCAGAAAGCCACGGCUAACUACGUGCCAGCAGCCGCCGUAA
This 515-nucleotide ribosomal RNA is filed under the name uncultured bacterium. RNAcentral describes it as "partial 16S ribosomal RNA". It matches the Rfam family "Bacterial small subunit ribosomal RNA", at positions 28 to 523 of the family's 1533-position model. The record is from RNAcentral.